AACUGCAUUCCAAACAAUGAUCUGGACCUGAAACAUCCAGAGCCUGAAAGGUGUCACAGUCAUCGUCUGGUGUGCACAACAAUAUCAUCUUUGGACAAGUGCAUUCAGUGUGUGGGACCGGUUUCCUCCCUCAAGUGGCUUGGCUAUAAGUGCAAAGUUUGUUUAGGGGUCUGGCACAAAUCCUGCCUUGC
Oreochromis aureus is the source of this 191-nucleotide long non-coding RNA. RefSeq lists it as uncharacterized. Lineage: Eukaryota; Metazoa; Chordata; Actinopteri; Cichliformes; Cichlidae. The record is from RefSeq and is a predicted model, not a curated record. The transcript has 3 exons.